This 1844-nucleotide long non-coding RNA is filed under the name Prunus dulcis (almond). RNAcentral describes it as "sRNA ncRNA". The record is from RNAcentral. Lineage: Eukaryota; Viridiplantae; Streptophyta; Magnoliopsida; Rosales; Rosaceae.
AUUUCAGCUCUUCAUUCGAUCGGGGUUGUCAUCGACGGCGAACUUGGGGGAAAAGGGCUUGGCUUUCUCAGUUGUGUUUGCCGAUUUUAUCAAAAAUCAAAGCAUUUUUCAUCUUUCUUUGGUAAGCCUUCCAAUUCUCUACUUUCCCUCUUCAAUUAUUUCGAUUAUAGGGAUCUAAUCCAUGACCUAUGACCUAUGAAUAGCGAAAAUUUAACAAUGUAAAAAAGAAAAAGAAAGAAUCAAAGAGUUAAACUUAAAAUGAAAGAAUAAAACUUUAAUAUUCUAGCUUUGAAAGGUAGGUUUAACUAUACAUGAUUGGAAUUUGAAGCAGCUGAAAACCCAAUUUUUAUGUUUUUAAUUUUUCAGUUAUAAAGAAACUAAUUCACCCAGCAUUAGAAAUCAAAGGAAAAUAUUCUGGUUGUUUAUGAAAAUAUAUUGUUGGGAAAGAAUAGUGUAAAUUAGGGUUUUUGAUAUUUGGUGAAUGUAUAAUUGUAUAUGCCAAUGUGUAUAAAAAUUUUGUAACACAUUCGGAGCGAAUUUAUUCCCUGUUCAAGUCAGGUUGAGUAAAUAUAUUGUAGAUAUAGCAAUCAUGACUCAUUGGUAAUGCUCAAUUCUGUGGUAUGCAAUCAUAUGGAUGGCAUUUAACUUCAUAGAAAUUCUACAAUGGCAUUUUAGAAGUGCUUCCAUGGCUUACCUAUGAAGCAUGGUAUCCAAAUAUAUGGUGUUCCCUCCUCCUUCUUCCCUCUUUUCCCCAUUUUUCAUUAUGAUGGAGAUUAGGCAAUUAAGAGUCUUGGAUACAGUUGGCCUCUUUAGGUAGACUGGUGUAUUUCAUCCAAAUAGUUAGUUUGGGUUGAUUGUAAUUUGCGUUUGUGAUUGAGGAUGCUAAAAGGAUUUAGAUGAACAUCUCGUUCAUCCUCCUUCUAACACUUUUUCAUUAAUCAAAUCUCUGUUUCGUGUAAGAAAAGAAAAACUGACUUAGUUUGAGGUUGUAUUAUGGGCAAUCCAGUUUCACCAUGAGUCCAAUAGUUCUCUGUAAAAUACAGGAGGCUAUUGCCUGCACACCCACAUCCAUGCAUGCAUAUGCACACACACAUUUGAAAUAUGACCAUCAUGCUCCAUUUUUUCUUUCAUUUGGCAGAUACUGGUCCACACUUGCAAGGGAUUACAAUUUGCUGGUCUAAUGGUAUGCUGAAUAGUGAUAGUUUGUAUGUCUCAUCCUUUUCUUUAGUCCUUUACAUCAUUUGCCUUGUAACACUGGUAAAGUAGGAUUGCAACUCAUAAUAGCCAUUCAAAUGGGCUUGCAACUUCUUAAGGUGCAUCCCCCACACUAGUUAAUGUUUAAUUUUGUCCCAGAAAGGAAAAUUCAGACAUGCCGUCUUUUGAUCAUUGGUGAAUGAUAGGCAGCUAGGCUUUUGGCCUCUAAAGGAUUUAGUUGUCAUCAUUCAGUUUCUCUUAACUUAAUAAUCUCGGGUUCUUAUUUCUAGUAAUUUUAAUUCAUAAUUAUGAUGUGUUUUGAACCAUGCAGGUUAUUAUGAAGGCUUGACAAUGUGACAGAUUAUGGGAAGUAAAAGUCCAUCUGCAGGUCUGAUUUAGCUUCAGCUCUUGGAGACCAUCUCAAAGAACGAUUGAGCCAUGAUGACACGCACUGCUAGCAUGCCAGUAGAGUAAAAAGAGAUCUUUACAGGGGUGGCGUGAGAAACUUGCACUACACUUCUUCCCAAUCCCAUCUAGGCAGCUAGUUGUUGAAUAGAUUUAGGCAUGUAUCCAAGAAAUAAUUUGAAUGAGACUUUCGUAAUGUUUUCUAGUAAUAUGUUUAUUUACAUUUGAAGAUAUGGAAAACGAGG